GAUGAACGCUGGCGGCGUGCCUAAUACAUGCAAGUCGAGCGAACAGACGAGGAGCUUGCUCCUCUGACGUUAGCGGCGGACGGGUGAGUAACACGUGGAUAACCUACCUAUAAUACUUGGAUAACUUCGGGAAACCGGAGCUAAUACCGCAUAAUAUAUUGAACCGCAUGGUUCAAUAGUUAAAGACGGUUUUGCUGUCACUUAUAGAUGGAUCCGCGCCGCAUUAGCUAGUUGGUAAGGUAACGGCUUACCAAGGCGACGAUGCGUAGCCGACCUGAGAGGGAGAUCGGGCACACUGGAACUGAGAAAAGGUCCAGACUCCUAAGGGAGGCCAGCGUAGGGAAUCUUUCGACAUGGGCGACAGCCUGGCGGCGCAAAGCCGGGUGAGUGAUGAAGGUCUUCGGAUCGUAAAACUCUGUUAUUAGGGAAGAACAAAUGUGUAAGUAACUAUGCACGUCUUGACGGUAACUAAUCAGAAAGCCACGGCUAACUACGUG
RNAcentral lists this ribosomal RNA (497 nucleotides) under uncultured bacterium. RNAcentral describes it as "partial 16S ribosomal RNA". It matches the Rfam family "Bacterial small subunit ribosomal RNA", at positions 28 to 507 of the family's 1533-position model. The record is from RNAcentral.